RNAcentral lists this ribosomal RNA (254 nucleotides) under uncultured bacterium. Its description in RNAcentral is "partial 16S ribosomal RNA". It matches the Rfam family "Bacterial small subunit ribosomal RNA", at positions 524 to 776 of the family's 1533-position model. The record is from RNAcentral.
UACGUAGGCAGCGAGCGUUGUUCGGAGUUACUGGGCGUAAAGGGCGGGUAGGCGGCCACCGCAAGUCAGUUGUGAAAUCUCUGGGCUUAACCCAGAAAGGUCAACUGAUACUGCGGGGCUAGAGUGCAGAAGGGGCAACUGGAAUUCUCGGUGUAGCGGUGAAAUGCGUAGAUAUCGAGAGGAACACCUGCGGCGAAGGCGGGUUGCUGGGCUGACACUGACGCUGAACUGCGAAAGCUAGGGGAGCGAACGGG